GUGGUGGCUCAGUGGUAGAGCACUUACCUUACUUUGCACAUAUGAGGCACUGAGUUCAAUCCUCAGCACCACA
RNAcentral lists this transfer RNA (73 nucleotides) under Ictidomys tridecemlineatus (thirteen-lined ground squirrel). RNAcentral's name for it is "Spermophilus tridecemlineatus (thirteen-lined ground squirrel) tRNA". The record is from Rfam by way of RNAcentral. Lineage: Eukaryota; Metazoa; Chordata; Mammalia; Rodentia; Sciuridae.